AGCCUAUGGAGCCUAAGAAAAUUAGAGUGGAGCCUAAAGUUUUAGGACAUAGUUCUGAAAGAGAAAAUAUUGGCUACCACACCUAGAUUUCAAAUGGCAAGCAUGAAAGAGGUUUGGAAGGACUUCACAAAGAGGAGCAUCAAGGAUCCAGGUGUCCUUCCAAGAUAGUAUAUCUAGUCGAUUGACAACCAUAAAUCUAAUUCGAUUCUA
Molecule: long non-coding RNA, 210 nt
Filed under: Elaeis guineensis (African oil palm)
Lineage: Eukaryota; Viridiplantae; Streptophyta; Magnoliopsida; Arecales; Arecaceae
Description: long non-coding RNA (EGUI_LNC005651)
Source: RNAcentral